CUGUUUCUCUUUUUCUCUUGGCAGCCCUGGGGAUGGAUCCUGGGCCUCGCUCGUGCCGGCUGAGUGCUCUAGACGGCACGUCCACCGUGGAAGUUUUAAAAUCGCAUCCUGAUGUUUCCGGCGUCUCUUCUCAUCUUGCUGUGGGUAGACCUGUGCAUUCUUCCUUUUCCUUUGACUUGUGCCUUCCUGGUUCUUGGUUGGAUGAACAUAUAUUAUUUUAACCUGGACAUUUUCAUGUCGUUUCAUGACACCCUCAGCUUUUCUCUGGUUCUCUCUGACAUCCCUACUGCGUGCCCAGGAAGAGGAGGUCACGACCCUUUCCCUGCAAUUGGAAGUAGAAGUCCAAGUGUCAGUCUCUGUGGAUACCCACGUGGGGAUGGGUCCCCAUUCUGGCUGGGUGGGAUGGGAACUCCAGUUCCCCAGAGGGUCUCACUUGACACAGUGGAGUCACAUGACCCCAUUGCUUUCCAGUGUAGAUAAGAGCCCUGGCCUCCUCACUGGCCUCCUCCCUGGCCUCCCACCUGGCCUCUAUAUACAUAUUUGUUCUCAUUAGUUAUACAUGACAGUAGAAUGACUUUUGACACACACCAUACAUAAAUGGAGUAUAACAUCUCAUUCAUCGGAUUGUACAUGAUGUAGAGUUCCACCUAAAUUUUAAAGAUCCUGCAAUCUGUAUUUGGGGUAAAAUUGGGAGUUCAUAACCAACUUGAAUCUAAUGUAUGAAAUAUGAUAUGUCAAGAGCUU
Molecule: long non-coding RNA, 744 nt
Filed under: Marmota monax (woodchuck)
Lineage: Eukaryota; Metazoa; Chordata; Mammalia; Rodentia; Sciuridae
Source: RNAcentral